Molecule: ribosomal RNA, 253 nt
Filed under: uncultured bacterium
Lineage: Bacteria
Description: partial 16S ribosomal RNA
Rfam family: Bacterial small subunit ribosomal RNA
Source: RNAcentral
UACGUAGGGACCGAGCGUUGUCCGGAAUCAUUGGGCGUAAAGAGCGUGUAGGCGGCCAACUAAGUCCUGCGUGAAAUCUCGGGGCUCAACCCCGAGCGGUCGUGGGAAACUGGUUGGCUAGAGUGCGGGAGAGGAGAGUGGAAUUCCUGGUGUAGCGGUGAAAUGCGCAGAUAUCAGGAAGAACACCUAUGGCGAAGGCAGCACUCUGGGACGGUACUGACGCUGAGACGCGAAAGCGUGGGGAGCGAACAGG